Molecule: ribosomal RNA, 253 nt
Filed under: uncultured bacterium
Lineage: Bacteria
Description: partial 16S ribosomal RNA
Rfam family: Bacterial small subunit ribosomal RNA
Source: RNAcentral
UACGGGGGGGGCAAGCGUUGUUCGGAUUUAUUGGGCGUAAAGGGUGCGUAGGCGGCGAGGUAAGUCUGGUGUGAAAUCCUGGGGCUCAACCCCAGAAUUGCACUGGAUACUGCUUUGCUAGAGGACUGGAGAGGAGAUUGGAAUUCACGGUGUAGCAGUGAAAUGCGUAGAUAUCGUGAGGAAGACCAGUGGCGAAGGCGAAUCUCUGGACAGUUCCUGACGCUGAGGCACGAAGGCUAGGGGAGCAAACGGG